UUAAAUUGAAGAGUUUGAUCAUGGCUCAGAUUGAACGCUGGCGGCAGGCCUAACACAUGCAAGUCGAACGGUAACAGAAAGCAGCUUGCUGCUUUGCUGACGAGUGGCGGACGGGUGAGUAAUGUCUGGGAAACUGCCUGAUGGAGAGGGAUAACUACUGGAAACGGUAGCUAAUACCGCAUAACGUCGCAAGACCAAAGAGGGGGACCUUCGGGCCUCUUGCCAUCGGAUGUGCCCAGAUGGGAUUAGCUAGUAGGUGGGGUAACGGCUCACCUAGGCGACGAUCCCUAGCUGGUCUGAGAGGAUGACCAGCCACACUGGAACUGAGACACGGUCCAGACUCCUACGGGAGGCAGCAGUGGGGAAUAUUGCACAAUGGGCGCAAGCCUGAUGCAGCCAUGCCGCGUGUAUGAAGAAGGCCUUCGGGUUGUAAAGUACUUUCAGCGGGGAGGAAGGGAGUAAAGUUAAUCCCUUUCCUCCUUGACGUUCC
Molecule: ribosomal RNA, 490 nt
Filed under: Escherichia coli
Lineage: Bacteria; Pseudomonadati; Pseudomonadota; Gammaproteobacteria; Enterobacterales; Enterobacteriaceae
Description: bacterial SSU rRNA
Rfam family: Bacterial small subunit ribosomal RNA
Source: RNAcentral